Molecule: ribosomal RNA, 427 nt
Filed under: uncultured Glomeromycotina
Lineage: Eukaryota; Fungi; Glomeromycota
Description: SSU rRNA
Rfam family: Eukaryotic small subunit ribosomal RNA
Source: RNAcentral
AGCAGCCGCGGUAAUUCCAGCUCCAAUAGCGUAUAUUAAAGUUGUUGCAGUUAAAAAGCUCGUAGUUGAAUUUCGGGGUCAGCAGGUUGGUCGUGCCACUGGUAUGCACUGGCCUUGCUGAUUCCUCCCUCUUGAUGAACCGUAAUGCCAUUAAUUUGGUGUUGCGGGGAAUCAGGACUGUUACUUUGAAAAAUUAGAGUGUUUAAAGCAGGCAAGCGCUUGAAUACAUUAGCGUGGAAUAAUGAAAUAGGACGUUUGAUCCUAUUUUGUUGGUUUCUAGGAUUGACGUAAUGAUUAAUAGGGAUAGUUGGGGGCAUUAGUAUUCAAUUGUCAGAGGUGAAAUUCUUGGAUUUAUUGAAGACUAACUACUGCGAAAGCAUUUGCCAAGGAUGUUUUCAUUAAUCAAGAACGAAAGUUAGGGGAUCGA